GUCAUUCUGCUCUGGGUUCAGACGUGCACUGCAGCAGCACCGGGACUUGACAGCCCUACGGCUCGAUCAGCUUUCUGUUUUCAUUGCCUUACGAUGCCAUGAGUGGAACUAUUGUCAAAUCAGAGUUCACUCCCCAGCUUUUCAGUCUUUCCCCUAAUUCUUGCUCUAUCAGAGGUCGAGGACAACAGUAUAAUGAUUCAUAGGUUCUACUUCCUGGCAAGUAAUCAUUUUCCCACGGGCCCUUGUGAAUUGAUGAAUAUGAAGACACUAAGAAAGCAGAAAUAGAACUGAGAAGAAUGAAAUAACUGUCUCUACCUUUCUCGAAUUGUCUAAUAUGGAAAGAAUGAAAGACAGCUAAUAAGCAACUCUCUGCAAGAAGACAUAUGGCUUAGGUUCUGCUGAGCUAUUGGUGAUUUGAUUCCAUGCAUAUGUAUUCACUACUGGUAUAAAAUCUACUUGGAGAGAGUCAAACACAGAAUCCCUUUGAAUUUAAUGGCCAUUCCAGGUGAUUUGAACAGCCAAAUAAGAAACAGGUCCUCUUCAAUGUACAAUCUGCCAAGUAUGAAGUCUGAAUGACCAUCAUUAUUAUGUAUUUAAUGUGCAUAGAAAAUCUAUCUGCAACCUUCCAGAGUGUACCAGAAGUUUGGAAUGUACAUUAUUAUUGGCUCCAUCUCAAACCACUCAUAAAUCAAAGAAAAUAGCAGUUCCAGAGGAAUCAUCAUAGAGGCUUCUAGGCCCCCAUGCUGUGUGAACCUGGUGAGAAAGGGAAGUCUGCUCUCACUGGACACUGGAACUGUUUGUCUCUGUCUCUGCUGUACUUUCCCUGCCUCUACCUCACUUAGUAAAGAAAUCAUCUUUGCUUGAUAACUAAAACAACCAAUAAGGCUGAGAAAGGGGAAAACCCACAUCUGGAUUUAAAUACAAGGUAUUGGGCCAGCUGCUGGGGAUUAAACUUUGAACAAAACAGAUAGAAUCUAUGUCCUCAUGGGAGUGGCUAAUGGGAGAGUCGGAACAAAAAAAUAGCCAAGGAUAAUCCAGCAAAUGAUUUGGUGAAUGCUAUCAAAGAGAGAAAUACACAUGCUCUGGGAACACCAAGAAUAAACGAGAGAAAGGGACAUUAAUAUAUAUUGAAUAUCUGCUGUGUCAGGCACCUUACAUAUAUUGAUUGCUUCUUCACUUCUUUUAAUCUUUACUACACCACAUGAGGCUGUCAUAGAGAUUCUGAGAACAAAUUGUCUAAUUGAGAAACUGCUGAGCAUUGGAAAUGAGCUUGCCAGGGGAACAGAGGGAUACCUGAAUAGCGAAUGCAAGGCAGUUCAAAACUCAAACUCAGGCCACUGGAUUUGCUGCCCACUGCUCCUUGUAUGAUCGCCCUUGGGCACCACAUCCAUGUAGAGUCUUCUUCUAAGAGGCAAGGAAGGUCAAAGCUGAAACCACACAUCCCAGAUUAUGAUUGAGGUGUUUUUAUAGAACUUGUUUAUUUACAGCGUCUAUACUAAAACUUAUUUUUGGAAGCUGUAGUCAAAUAAUGUUUCUUAAGUGCCUUCACAGGAUAGACCAGCAAUAGAUGCUGUGGAAGAAGUGCAUGAUGUAGCUCCUGACCUCAAGACACUUUUCCACUGGAUACGGAUACAGGGCAUAUCUCCAGGGAGAUCAUUCAGGAUAAUGCCCAGUCAUCAGCAGGCAGUGCCAUAUGAAUGCAUAGCAAGUUAUGCUCCAGGAAGCAGAGGAAGCAGAGCACAUGAGGAAUGGGCUUCUAUGUGUAGCUGGAGUCUCACCUGGGUUUUGAAUUCAUAAAUAGUGUUCAAGGAGGAAGCAGGGAGGGUAUAGCUCUUGAUAGGAAGUGAUGGGAUGGCGAUACGAAUAUAUGUUCCUUGUUUGAAAUACCACAUGAAGGGCAUGUGGCUGUGAAACCAACUUUGCAAAGAUGAUGACAGUGAGAGAAAUCUAGCAUGGCUGACUCCAUCUUGCUUCUAGCCUCGCAGGCUGGCUACCCUCACUCACUCUUGGGCAUAGGCCCAGCUAACCAUGGGAGUCAUUUGAUUUAUAGAUUAACUUUGAAACAAGAAUGAUAAGAGUCUCUCCCUAAAACUGACCCCUUCCUUGUUCAGGAGCUGAAACUGCCUUUGUAAGACUAAUGAAAGGCCACAAGAUUAGGAUUAUGGGAGAGGCCUGGAUUCUGCUAAAAUGUAGGUGUAGUAAAUGAUAAACAGACAUUGAUCUCCAGUUGGCUUUUCUAUAAUCCCUUCCUGCUCCGGGGUCAGGUGGCCAGAGGCACAAGAUUUGUGGCUUCCGCAAAUUCUCCUGUAGGUAACAUCACUAUUGUAGAAUUUGAGAUUGGUCUUUUGAGAUGUUUUUCAGGCUUUUGCAUUCUGGCAACUCACUGACCCCAUGACUCAUGACUCAACCUGUUCUGUGGCCCCCACACAGAGGCUAGUUCAGUGCACAAGAACCAUUUUCCACACCCCUAUGUUGUCAUUCCCAACCAAUCAGCAACACCCACCCCUGAGCUCCCUGCCUGCCCAAUUAUCCAUAAAACUCUAGCCUCUGAGUUCUUGGGAUGGCUGAUUUGAGCAAUUAUUCCCAUCCUUCCAUUCAACUAGCCCUGCCAUUAUUAAACUCUUUCUCUACUGCAAUACAUCUGUCUCAGUGAACUGAUUUUAUCUGUGCAGUGGGCAACAAUUAGCCAUUGGGUGAUUAUAGCUGGAAAAGUGCCUACCUUGUGGCAGUUAAACAUGAGGUUUGGAGGGAGACUACCUACAUCUAACCACCACUGACCACCAUUGUAGUUGAGGUUCUGGUCAACUUAUUAACCCUUUGUGCGCACAUGUGCAUGCGUGCACACACACAGACACACACAGACACAUUUUCUCAUGUGUGAAAUGGGGACCAUAAUGUUGGAUCUCCCAGUGUUGCAGGAAGGACUCAUUGUAACAGAACAUGAAAAUAUUUAAUGUGCUGCCUAAUGUAUAACAGACACUGAAUAAAAUAACCACUGUUUUCAUUAGUAAUGGUCUUAGAUACCUAGCUAAGGCAAAAAUUUACUCGAUUUCCUGUCCCUCAUCUUUCAAACUUACUUGGGUUUGUAACCAUCCUUGCUUCCUUCCCCUCUUUUCAAAGUGUUAUUUCCUUUCAAAGUUAAUCCUUUCACUUGAUUCUCAUUCCAUCACGUAUUGUCUUCCUUC
Molecule: long non-coding RNA, 3185 nt
Filed under: Homo sapiens (human)
Lineage: Eukaryota; Metazoa; Chordata; Mammalia; Primates; Hominidae
Description: non-protein coding LINC02541:49
Source: RNAcentral